RNAcentral lists this ribosomal RNA (387 nucleotides) under uncultured bacterium. RNAcentral describes it as "bacterial SSU rRNA". It matches the Rfam family "Bacterial small subunit ribosomal RNA", at positions 28 to 417 of the family's 1533-position model. The record is from RNAcentral.
GACGAACGCUGGCGGCGUGCUUAACACAUGCAAGUCGAGCGGUAAGGCCCUUUCGGGGGUACACGAGCGGCGAACGGGUGAGUAACACGUGAGCAACCUACCCUCAACUUCGGGAUAAGCCUCGGAAACGGGGUCUAAUACCGGAUAUCACUCCAUCCUUCAUGGUUUGGGGUUGAAAGUUCUGGCGGUUGGGGAUGGGCUCGCGGCCUAUCAGCUUGUUGGUGGGGUAAUGGCCUACCAAGGCGUCGACGGGUAGCCGGCCUGAGAGGGCGACCGGCCACACUGGGACUGAGACACGGCCCAGACUCCUACGGGAGGCAGCAGUGGGGAAUAUUGCGCAAUGGGCGAAAGCCUGACGCAGCAACGCCGCGUGAGGGAUGACGGCCU